Molecule: long non-coding RNA, 286 nt
Filed under: Salmo salar (Atlantic salmon)
Lineage: Eukaryota; Metazoa; Chordata; Actinopteri; Salmoniformes; Salmonidae
Description: lncRNA (ENSSSAG00000096276.1)
Source: RNAcentral
AAAGAGGUGGGGUUUCAGGUGUCUCCGGAAGGUGGUGAUUGACUCCGCUGUCCUGGCGUCUUGAGGGAGCUUGUUCCACCAUUGGUGCCAGAGCAGCGAACAGUUUUGACUGGGCUGAGCGGGAACUGUGCUUCCGCAAAGCUAUGGAACCCUGACCUGUUCACCGGACGUGCUACCUGUCCCAGACCUGUUGUCCCAGACCUGCUGGAACCCUGACCUAUUCACCGGAUGUGCUACCUGUCCCAGACCUGCUGUUUUCAACUCUCUAGAGACAGCAGGAGCGGUA